AGUGAGCCGAGAUCACAUCACUGCAUUGUAAUCUAGCCUGGGUGACAGAGCAAGGCUCUGUCUCAAAAAAAAAAAAACUCUGGACGAAUGAAGUGGCCGGAAGUAGUUAUUUAAAAGGUUAAUGUUAGUUGAAUGUUAACUAUCCUGACUGAAAUUAAGUUGAAGCCCCAGGAAUUUCAGAAGCAAAAGCACUCAUGCACUCUUCUGGCCCAUUUUGCAGUUUGCCUUCACAGCCAGCACAGUGGAAAGCCAGCUCUGAAAUAUGUGGGGUGUGGUCGGAGUGCUCAGAUACAGCCGGAAGUCUCCUCUCCCUGCACCUGCAGAGACAGUUACUCCUGGGAACUUCUGGGUGUUUUUCUGGGAGUUGUUUUUGGCAAUGAAACCACACUUGAACUCCAGACCUCUCCACCGGAAGACUUUGAACAGGGUCAGGGUGGGAACUUUGCAUUUCCAGAUGGGAUUUUCUGCUGCAAACAAGGUCAGGAACAUGGCCCUGGAUGAUGCAGACGUGAGCGAUGCUUGCUUCCCCUUAAACUGAACGUCAUAAGCCUUGUCCUUACUUAGAAGCAGCAUCCAGGGCAGAAAAUACGAUAAAAGCCUUGGCCCACCUGCCCGCUGUGCCUGCCACAGUCUCCUGGCUUAAAGUGUGUCCCACCUUAAAAUGAGAAGGUGGUGACCUCUCAGAGGUUCAGGCUCAGUAGGUUUAAGUCUUCAGGUAGAACGAGCGACUAGGCCACUCCUGUGGAGGAUUGCCAUUGCCAGAGUUUGAAGCAGUUGCUUUUUCCUGCUAUUCCAAAAAUAGGACAACUGCGACCUUUGGCUUAUAAAUUCAGCUAAGGCAACAGUUGCACACACAACUGGGGUGGCCGCUCAGCUCUCUUCCUCUACCCACCCUGGCCCAGCGUCCCCUGCUGGUACCAGGCCCUGCUCCCUAGAUGCAGGGAUUGACCCAAACCCUGCCAAUCAAAGAGCCUCAGCUUCAGCAACAGCAAUUGGUCCAGCGGGGAGAGCACGUGAGCAGAGUCGAGCUUAUCAGAGUCCUCCCUGGCCCAUCCCAAACACAGCUGGCCAGGGGCCAGGAGCUCCCUCUGAGAUGGGAGCUUCUAUUCAGGCCAAGAGGCUGGUAGAAGGUGAAUCUGAAGUGGACUGUGAUGUAGGUUAUGGCUGAGAGAGUGGAGCAGGUGUGUGUGUGUGUGUGUGUGUGUGUGAGAGAGAGAGAGAGAGAGAGAGAGAGAAAGAGAGAGAGGUGGCGGUGCAGUUUUUAGGUGCCUGGUUCCAUUCUGUGAGAGUCCAGCUCCACUUUCCCUGUUUGGGUCCAUAAAUGCCUCUCUCUUGGAGUUGAGUUUCUGUACUUUCAGCUGAAAGAGAUUGCGACAGGUUCAAAAUGUGUUCAGAAAUCCUUUGACAAUUUCUCCCUCAAAAUUUGGAACCUGGCGAGGGCGGUGGCUCAUACCUGUAAACCUAGCACUUUGGGAGGCCAAAGCAGGAGGAUCUUUUGAGCUCAGGGGUUCAAGACCAGCCUGGACAACAUAAUGAGGCCCCAUCUCUAGAAACAAUUAAACAACAAAAUUAGUCGGAUGUGGUGGCAUGCACCUGUAGUCCCAGCUGCUCUGGAGGCUGAGGCAGGAGGAUCACUUGAGCAUGUCUGGGAGGUUGAGGCUUCAGUGAGCUGUGAUCAUACCACUGCACUCCAGCCUGGGUUACAGAGGGAGACCAUGUCUCCCACCUCAAAAUAUGAAAAAUAAACCCAACUCCCUACCCCUUGAGCACAGGCUGGAUUUAGUGCGUGGAAGUGAUAGUGCACGACUUCCAAGACUAGGUCGGAAAAGACGCUGUGGCUUCCAUCUUGCUCUCCUGAAUCACAUGCUCUGAGGAAG
RNAcentral lists this long non-coding RNA (1877 nucleotides) under Homo sapiens (human). Its description in RNAcentral is "long non-coding RNA NONHSAT159305.1". The record is from RNAcentral. Lineage: Eukaryota; Metazoa; Chordata; Mammalia; Primates; Hominidae.